Non-coding RNA from Ciona intestinalis (vase tunicate), 128 nucleotides. The record is from RefSeq and is a predicted model, not a curated record. NCBI's taxonomy places the organism in Eukaryota, Metazoa, Chordata, Ascidiacea, Phlebobranchia, Cionidae.
AAAUGAAUGAAUUUCAAGACAGAGAAUACCUACGAAUCGGUGACCAAUAAGCAGGAUAAUAUUGACAAUGUAAAAAACAAUCGAACGAUUUUAAUAAAUUGAUCAUCAGCAAAAAUAUACCUUGUGUU